GGUACCCUGACCGUGCUAAGGUAGCAUAAUCCCUUGCCUCUUAAUUAGUGGCUAGUAUGAAUGGAUAAACGAAAAUUAUGCUGUCUCUACAAAUCUAAUAUAAAUUGCCCUUAAAGUGAAGAGGCUUCAAUUAAAAUAAAAGACAAGAAGACCCUGUAGAGCCUAAGAUAAAUUUUAAUCUAUAAAAUAAAAUUAAAUAACCCUCUUAAUAUAUUCUUCAGUUGGGGCGACUAGAGACCACCAAAACCCUCUCUACAAUCAAAGGCCCAUUGGCCCAUCCCAAGAUCCACCAAAUGAUCAAAAAUCCAGGCUACCUCAGGGAUAACAGGUUAAUCUUCCUAAAGAGCCCAAAUUGACAGGAAGGAUUGACACCUCGAUGUUGGCUUAGGGGCACUUCAAGGUGCAGCCGCCUUGAUAGUAGGUUUGUUCACCCUUUAAUACCCUACG
RNAcentral lists this ribosomal RNA (447 nucleotides) under Aricidea cerrutii cerrutii. RNAcentral's name for it is "partial large subunit ribosomal RNA". It matches the Rfam family "Bacterial large subunit ribosomal RNA", at positions 1935 to 2600 of the family's 2925-position model. The record is from RNAcentral. Lineage: Eukaryota; Metazoa; Annelida; Polychaeta; Paraonidae.